AUAAAACAUAGGUUAUAAUUUUAUAUUGUUAUGAAAAAUGAAACUAGCUAAAAUUUUAUAUACAUCAAUAUUUAUAUUAGAUAAAAGGACAGAAAUAGAAGUAGGAAAAGGAAUAUUUAUGGAUAAAAGCGAGGAUAUAAAAGCGGAACGGUCAUGUCUAUUACAGGCAAAAAAUAUAUGGUUAAAAUCCCCAACGUCAUUGCCACACUCACAUGUGUCGUCAGGCAAAAGGUUAAGCCUUGCCAAAUGCAAGGGUAUGCAUGCAUGGCCCAGCCUCAUACGUAUAAGGGUCGAAGUAAUAUCUUUACCAAGCGUCAAAGUAGAAAACCAUGGUUUAGGAGGUAUAUCCCCCUGAAUCAUGUUGUAAUACCGUCCUUUCGUCUGACUUGAAGAACGCCAAAUGUUUAUCCAAGAUUUUAUUAACUGGGAUUUAGGAAGGAGAGUUAAAUCACAAGAAAAUUUUUUGUAUGGAACCAGGUCUCCGUCAUUGACCGCAGCUUUGGCAAGCCUAUCAGCCUUGGUAUUGCCAAAGAUACCUGAGUGACCCGGAAUCCAAGCAAAAGAUACAGUGUACUUUUUGAUGAAGCAUUGAUAUAAUAAAUCGCGACAUGCAAUAAUUACUGGGUGAUUAUUUAUAUUACGGCUAAAAGGAAAUCUUUUCAACGCUUGGAGGACACUUUUAGCGUCAGUUAAAAUUAUUGACUUUUUAAGCUUCAUUAUUAAAAUGUACUCCAGAGACCUCAGCAGACCAAAGCAUUCUCCAGUAAAUACUGAAGUCUCUGGAGGUAAUUUUAUUUUCUGUACAAUGUCAAACUGUUGAUGGAAAACGCCAAUUCCCACACACUCCUCGGGACCGGGUUUGGAAGCAUCACAAAAAAUUAAAUGGUAAUGUUUCCAUUGGCUGUCACUGUCAAUAAUAUCAGUAAAUUUGGCAUUUGCAGAAAGAUCUUGUUUACUUAUACCGAAGUCAAACAAAAUAGUAGGAUCUAAUGUUAAUGCAUCAUAGUUAACACAAAAUAUAGGAAGGAAUUGUGAUCUGUGUGUUGGAGCUUGAAGAGCUAAGUAUUUUUGGAGACUAAUAAUAAGGCAUGGCGGCGAUUUAUGAGCCCAGUACGGGUAAUUCAUACAUUCCAACAGAGACCGUAACUUAGAAUAAAGAGGAUGAUUAUAGACUUGUAAUGCCCUAAACAGGAACCUGUCACAAAGAAAUUGUCGUCUGAGGUGCAGGGGAGCUUCAGAACAUUCGACCUGCAAAGCGUUAAUAGGGCUCGAUCUCAUAGCCCCAGUAAUUAUUCUCAGAGCCUUAGACUGGAUAAUGUUUAACUUAUGGAGAGCUACUGCACUACAGGGUUCAAGUAUAAAUGUUCCAUAGUCUAAAAUACUCCUUAUUAGUGCAUUAUAUAGAAGCUUUAAAGAGAAAGGGUGGGCUCCCCACCAAACUCCAGAGAGACAACGCAGUAUAUUUAGGAUCUUCUCACAUUUGGCACUUAUAUAUUUGCAAUGAGAGCUUCCUGUAAGUUUCGAGUCUAAAAUUACCCCAAGAAAUGUUGCUUCACUUUUAACAGGAACUCUAAUAUUAUUAUAAAAUACAGUUACUGAUGGAGGAAGUCUCAUACGUGAAAAUAAGACUAUUAUACUUUUAUGAACUGAAAGGCUUAGAGAGUUAUUGUCCAGCCAGACUUUUAGCAACUGAAGGGAAUAUGUCAUAGUAUCAGAUAUGUUGUCAAUAGAAUUACCUGAGAUAUAUAAGAGUAAAUCAUCUGCAUAUUGGAGUGAGUUAACUUUACCCUUAAGGGAGGCUUCCAGAUCAUGAGAAUAUAUAUUGUAAAGUAAGGGACUCAAAACUGAUCCCUGUGGUAAACCUUUCCAGGCAAUACGGGAUUGAAUUAUAAGGUUGACAUUAUCAUAGGCUGCAGACACAUCUAAGAAUGCUGCUAUCACAGGCUUGUUGUAUGAAAAUGCCAAUCUUAAGUCUGUCAUAAAUAUACUGAGACUAUCCAUAGUA
This is a long non-coding RNA of Pieris rapae (cabbage white), 2005 nucleotides long. RefSeq lists it as uncharacterized. Lineage: Eukaryota; Metazoa; Arthropoda; Insecta; Lepidoptera; Pieridae. The record is from RefSeq and is a predicted model, not a curated record. The transcript has 2 exons.